GACGAACGCUGGCGGCGUGCUUAACACAUGCAAGUUGAGCGAUGAACCUUUCAUGAAUUUUUCGGAAUGAUUGGAAGAGGAUUAGCGGCGGACGGGGGAGUAACGCGUGAGCAACCUGCCUUAAACAACGGGAUAGCCUCGGGAAACCGGGAUUAAUACCGUAUGAGACCCCGCCUUCACAUGAAGAAGAGGUUAAAGAUUUAUCGGUUUAAGAUGGGCUCGCGUCUGAUUAGCUAGUUGGUGAGAUAAAAGCCCACCAAGGCAACGAUCAGUGACCGGCUUGCGAGCGAGAACGGUGACAUUGGAACUGAGGCACGGUACUAACUCCUACGGUAGGGAGCGGUAGUGAAUAUUGCACAAUGGGGGAAACCCGGAUGCAGCGAGGGCGCGUGGGCGAUGAAGGAUUUCGUUUCGUAACGCUCUGUCCAAGGGGAAGAUACUGACAGUACCCGUGGACGAAGCCCCGGCUAAGUACGUGCCAGCCGCCGCAGUAA
RNAcentral lists this ribosomal RNA (494 nucleotides) under uncultured bacterium. RNAcentral describes it as "partial 16S ribosomal RNA". It matches the Rfam family "Bacterial small subunit ribosomal RNA", at positions 28 to 523 of the family's 1533-position model. The record is from RNAcentral.